GGUGGCAUAGCCAAGCGGUAAGGCAGGGGACUGCAAAUCCCUUAUUCUCUGGUUCAAAUCCAGAUGCCACCU
Molecule: transfer RNA, 72 nt
Filed under: Selenihalanaerobacter shriftii
Lineage: Bacteria; Bacillati; Bacillota; Clostridia; Halanaerobiales; Halobacteroidaceae
Rfam family: tRNA
About the family: Transfer RNA (tRNA) molecules are approximately 80 nucleotides in length. Their secondary structure includes four short double-helical elements and three loops (D, anti-codon, and T loops).
Source: Rfam by way of RNAcentral